This 234-nucleotide ribosomal RNA is filed under the name uncultured bacterium. RNAcentral describes it as "partial 16S ribosomal RNA". It matches the Rfam family "Bacterial small subunit ribosomal RNA", at positions 536 to 769 of the family's 1533-position model. The record is from RNAcentral.
AAGCGUUGUCCGGAAUGAUUGGGCGUAAAGGGCGCGUAGGCGGCCCGGUAAGUCUGAAGUGAAAGUCCUGCUUUUAAGGUGGGAAUUGCUUUGGAUACUGUCGGGCUUGAGUGCAGGAGAGGUAAGCGGAAUUCCCGGUGUAGCGGUGAAAUGCGUAGAGAUCGGGAGGAACACCAGUGGCGAAGGCGGCUUACUGGACUGUAACUGACGCUGAGGCGCGAAAGUGUGGGGAGC